This 393-nucleotide ribosomal RNA is filed under the name uncultured bacterium. RNAcentral describes it as "partial 16S ribosomal RNA". It matches the Rfam family "Bacterial small subunit ribosomal RNA", at positions 523 to 918 of the family's 1533-position model. The record is from RNAcentral.
AUACGGAGGAUCCGAGCGUUAUCCGGAUUUAUUGGGUUUAAAGGGUGCGCAGGCGGGAGAUUAAGUCGGCGGUGAAAUUUUGCAGCUCAACUAUAAAAGUGCCUUCGAAACUGGUUUUCUUGAGUAUGGAUGAAGUAGGCGGAAUUUGUGGUGUAGCGGUGAAAUGCAUAGAUAUCACGAGGAACUCCGAUUGCGCAGGCAGCUUACUAAGCCAUAACUGACGCUCAUGCACGAAGGCGUGGGGAUCAAACAGGAUUAGAUACCCUGGUAGUCCACGCAGUAAACGAUGAUUACUCGCUGUUUGCGAUACAAUGUAAGCGGCUAAGCGAAAGCAUUAAGUAAUCCACCUGGGGAGUACGUUCGCAAGAAUGAAACUCAAAGGAAUUGCCGGGG